UACGUAGGGUGCAAGCGUUAAUCGGAAUUACUGGGCGUAAAGCGUGCGCAGGCGGUUGUGCAAGACCGAUGUGAAAUCCCCGGGCUCAACCCGGGAAGUGCACUCGAUACUGCGUAGCUUGAGUCUCGGAGAGGUUGGUGGAAUUCUCGGUGUAGAGGUGAAAUUCGUAGAUAUCGAGAGGAACACCGGUGGCGAAGGCGGCCAACUGGACGAAGACUGACGCUGAGACACGAAAGCGUGGGGAGCAAACAGG
Molecule: ribosomal RNA, 253 nt
Filed under: uncultured bacterium
Lineage: Bacteria
Description: partial 16S ribosomal RNA
Rfam family: Bacterial small subunit ribosomal RNA
Source: RNAcentral